UACGUAGGGGGCAAGCGUUGUCCGGAUUCAUUGGGCGUAAAGAGCUCGUAGGCGGUUCAGCAAGUCGGGUGUGAAACCUCCAGGCUCAACCUGGAGACGCCACCCGAUACUGCUGUGACUUGAGUCCGGUAGGGGACCACGGAAUUCCUGGUGUAGCGGUGAAAUGCGCAGAUAUCAGGAGGAACACCGGUGGCGAAGGCGGUGGUCUGGGCCGGAACUGACGCUGAGGAGCGAAAGCGUGGGGAGCGAACAGG
RNAcentral lists this ribosomal RNA (254 nucleotides) under uncultured bacterium. RNAcentral describes it as "partial 16S ribosomal RNA". It matches the Rfam family "Bacterial small subunit ribosomal RNA", at positions 524 to 776 of the family's 1533-position model. The record is from RNAcentral.